This 628-nucleotide ribosomal RNA is filed under the name Limosilactobacillus mucosae. RNAcentral describes it as "bacterial SSU rRNA". It matches the Rfam family "Bacterial small subunit ribosomal RNA", at positions 47 to 666 of the family's 1533-position model. Lineage: Bacteria; Bacillati; Bacillota; Bacilli; Lactobacillales; Lactobacillaceae. The record is from RNAcentral.
GAUUGAACGUGCUUGCACGGACUUGACGUUGGUUUACCAGCGAGUGGCGGACGGGUGAGUAACACGUAGGUAACCUGCCCCAAAGCGGGGGAUAACAUUUGGAAACAGAUGCUAAUACCGCAUAACAAUUUGAAUCGCAUGAUUCAAAUUUAAAAGAUGGCUUCGGCUAUCACUUUGGGAUGGACCUGCGGCGCAUUAGCUUGUUGGUAGGGUAACGGCCUACCAAGGCUGUGAUGCGUAGCCGAGUUGAGAGACUGAUCGGCCACAAUGGAACUGAGACACGGUCCAUACUCCUACGGGAGGCAGCAGUAGGGAAUCUUCCACAAUGGGCGCAAGCCUGAUGGAGCAACACCGCGUGAGUGAAGAAGGGUUUCGGCUCGUAAAGCUCUGUUGUUAGAGAAGAACGUGCGUGAGAGCAACUGUUCACGCAGUGACGGUAUCUAACCAGAAAGUCACGGCUAACUACGUGCCAGCAGCCGCGGUAAUACGUAGGUGGCAAGCGUUAUCCGGAUUUAUUGGGCGUAAAGCGAGCGCAGGCGGUUUGAUAAGUCUGAUGUGAAAGCCUUUGGCUUAACCAAAGAAGUGCAUCGGAAACUGUCAGACUUGAGUGCAGAAGAGGACAGUGGAA